CGCAUAAUGACAAAAAAGAACUACAGCAACAGGUCUGAGUAAAUCCCAUCCGGCAGCUCUGGCGUUUGUAGAAAACCAGAGUGGGAAUUUUUUUUUUUUUUUUUUUAAGACAGAGUCUCGCUCUGUCGCCCAGGCUGGAGUGCAGUGGCGCGAUCUUGGCUCACUGCAAGCUCCGCCUCCCGGGUUCACGCCAUUCUCCUGCCUCAGCCUCCCGAGUAGCUGGGACUACAGGGAAGGCAUCGAGCUUGAGGAAGAGGCCCCAUUCAUCUCCGUACCCCAGGCCCUGGUACACAGCAGGCAGAUAAACCUGCCAGUAAUUUCAGCAAAUGAAACGUGGAACACGUCAAGGCCAGAGGAUGGAAAAGGCUCCAGUUUUGAUAAAAGGAGGCCUGCUUGGCUUGGAAUCCUCUCUCCUGCUGGUUGGGAGAUGCAAAGAUGUUUCCAGAGAGGGGCUGAUGAAUUGAGGGGAAAGAAAUGAGCCCAGUAUGAGUCCCCUUUCAGGGCUGAGCGUGUAUAAAACCAAACAACUUGGAACCGCUCCAAGAGAGGGGAUUAAAGCAACAUGUUAUUCUGA
This 574-nucleotide long non-coding RNA is filed under the name Homo sapiens (human). RNAcentral's name for it is "HSALNT0384684". The record is from RNAcentral. Lineage: Eukaryota; Metazoa; Chordata; Mammalia; Primates; Hominidae.